RNAcentral lists this ribosomal RNA (449 nucleotides) under uncultured bacterium. RNAcentral's name for it is "partial 16S ribosomal RNA". It matches the Rfam family "Bacterial small subunit ribosomal RNA", at positions 29 to 523 of the family's 1533-position model. The record is from RNAcentral.
AGCGAACGCUGGCGGCAGGCCUAACACAUGCAAGUCGAACGGACCCUUCGGGGUUAGUGGCGGACGGGUGAGUAACACGUGGGAACGUGCCUUUAGGUUCGGAAUAGCUCCUGGAAACGGGUGGUAAUGCCGAAUGUGCCCUUCGGGGGAAAGAUUUAUCGCCUUUAGAGCGGCCCGCGUCUGAUUAGCUAGUUGGGGAGGUAACGGCUCACCAAGGCGACGAUCAGUAGCUGGUCUGAGAGGAUGACCAGCCACACUGGGACUGAGACACGGCCCAGACUCCUACGGGAGGCAGCAGUGGGGAAUCUUGCGCAAUGGGCGAAAGCCUGACGCAGCCAUGCCGCGUGAACGAUGAAGGUCUUAGGAUUGUAAAAUUCUUUCACCGGGGACGAUAAUGACGGUACCCGGAGAAGAAGCCCCGGCUAACUUCGUGCCAGCAGCCACAGUAA